RNAcentral lists this microRNA precursor (106 nucleotides) under Fragaria vesca subsp. vesca. The record is from RNAcentral. Lineage: Eukaryota; Viridiplantae; Streptophyta; Magnoliopsida; Rosales; Rosaceae.
UUUGGUAGCCAAGGAUGACUUGCCUGCUCCUCCAUUGAGGUUUUCCUGCUCUGUAUUCAUGGUUCAAAGCUCAUGUUUUGGCCAGGCAAGCAUCCUGGCUAAUUUG